GCUUAGCCGUAAACCGAGGUAGUUGAAUAACAAAACUAUUCGCCAGAGAACUACAAGCUACUGCUUAAAACUCAAAGGACUUGGCGGUGCCCUAGACCCUCCUAGAGGAGCCUGUUCUAUAAUCGAUAAACCCCGAUACACCUCACCUUUUCUAGCUAUCAGCCUAUAUACCGCCAUCGUCAGCUCACCCCAAUAGGGUAUUAAAGUGAGCAAGAUCAUUAAACCAUAAAAACGUUAGGUCAAGGUGUAGCAUAUGAGAAGGGAAGCAAUGGGCUACAUUUUCUAUAUUAGAAUAUCACGGAUUGUCUACUGAAAUAAAGACAUGAAGGAGGAUUUAGUAGUAAAUUAGGAAUAGAGAGCUUAAUUGAAAUAGGCAAUGGGGUGCGU
This 387-nucleotide ribosomal RNA is filed under the name Murexia longicaudata (short-furred dasyure). RNAcentral's name for it is "partial 12S ribosomal RNA". It matches the Rfam family "Bacterial small subunit ribosomal RNA", at positions 794 to 1384 of the family's 1533-position model. Lineage: Eukaryota; Metazoa; Chordata; Mammalia; Dasyuromorphia; Dasyuridae. The record is from RNAcentral.